CUCAUUAAAUCAGUUAUAGUUUAUUUGAUGGUCUCUUUUGUCUUUUUUUACCUACUUGGAUAACCGUGGUAAUUCUAGAGCUAAUACAUGCGCAAGGUCCCGAGCGCGGGGGGCAGGGCUUCACGGCCCUGUCCUCGCAUGCGCAGAGGGAUGUAUUUAUUAGGUUAAACAACCAGCAUUUUCAAUCAUCUGGUGAUUCAUAGUAACUCUUUCGGAUCGCAUUCAUG
RNAcentral lists this ribosomal RNA (227 nucleotides) under uncultured Acanthamoeba. RNAcentral's name for it is "partial 18S ribosomal RNA". It matches the Rfam family "Eukaryotic small subunit ribosomal RNA", at positions 97 to 279 of the family's 1831-position model. The record is from RNAcentral. Lineage: Eukaryota; Discosea; Longamoebia; Acanthamoebidae.